This 460-nucleotide ribosomal RNA is filed under the name uncultured bacterium. RNAcentral's name for it is "partial 16S ribosomal RNA". It matches the Rfam family "Bacterial small subunit ribosomal RNA", at positions 338 to 795 of the family's 1533-position model. The record is from RNAcentral.
CCUACGGGUGGCAGCAGUGAGGAAUAUUGGUCAAUGGGCGCGAGCCUGAACCAGCCAAGUAGCGUGAAGGAUGACUGCCCUACGGGUGGUAAACUUCUUUUGUAAAGGAAUAAGGUGAGGCACGUGUGCCUUUUUGUAUGUACUUUAUGAAUAAGGAUCGGCUCACUCCGUGCCAGCAGCCGCGGUAAUACGGAGGAUCCGAGCGUUAUCCGGAUUUGAUGGGUUUAAAGGGAGCGUAGAUGGGUUGUUAAGUCAGUUGUGAAAGUUUGCGGCUCAACCGUAAAAUUGCAAUUGAUACUGGCAGUCUUGAGUACAGUUGAGGUAGGUGGAAUUCGUGGUGUAGCGGUGAAAUGCUUAGAUAUCACGAAGAACUCCGAUUGCGAAGGCAGCUUACUAAACUGCCACUGACAUUGAUGCUCGAAAGUGUGGGUAGCAAACAGGAUUAGAUACCCUUGUAGUC